RNAcentral lists this ribosomal RNA (411 nucleotides) under uncultured bacterium. RNAcentral's name for it is "bacterial SSU rRNA". It matches the Rfam family "Bacterial small subunit ribosomal RNA", at positions 29 to 429 of the family's 1533-position model. The record is from RNAcentral.
AACGAACGCUGGCGGCAGGCUUAACACAUGCAAGUCGAGCGGCAGCGCGUCCGACCACCCUCGGGUGGUCGGAUGGCGGCGAGCGGCGGACGGGUGAGGAAUGCAUCGGAAUCUGCCUCGUUGUGGGGGAUAACGUAGGGAAACUUACGCUAAUACCGCAUACGACCUACGGGUGAAAGUGGGGGACCUUCGGGCCUCACGCGAUGAGAUGAGCCGAUGCCGGAUUAGCUAGUUGGCGGGGUAAAGGCCCACCAAGGCGACGAUCCGUAGCUGGUCUGAGAGGAUGAUCAGCCACACUGGAACUGAGACACGGUCCAGACUCCUACGGGAGGCAGCAGUGGGGAAUAUUGGACAAUGGGGGCAACCCUGAUCCAGCCAUGCCGCGUGUGUGAAGAAGACCUCGGUUGUAAG